GUCAGAUAUUCUUUGAUCUCGUCUGAAAUUAAUGAUUUUUCUUGAUGAAUUUCUACUUUUGUAUCAAAACUGAAGGGGAAAGGACUAUUUCGAAGAUAACGAGUGAGAUUAAAUUGUGAGUGAAGUAAUAAUUUCUUCUUAUUUUAUAUUAAAUUUGGUUUUCUCUUUGUACAAACCUGUUUUAGUGGGAAAUCUUAACAAUAUUCAAGAUUUCUUUACAUUUUCCCGAUCAUAAAUGCUAUUUGUAAACCUGCUGAAAUUAUGAAAAUUAAGUUAUUUAUAGAAAAAUAUGUUUUUAUGAAAUUUGCUAUAAAUACCAUUCAGAAUGUGUAUAUUAGAAUUCUAUCGGAAUUUAAUAUGAAAAUAUAAAUUUGGUGGGCUCGUACACAUGAAAGUUAAAAUUUUUAAAGAAAUUCUGGAUUUGUCUCAGUGUGUAUGUGUGUGUGUGUGUGUCUUUGUGUUAGUGUUUCUUCCCCUCCCAUUCCCGCUUAACAAACGGUGUUGGUAUAUUUACAUCCCUGGAACUUUCGGCAGCAGACUCAUAAAAUGAGUUCCAGGCAUAAAAAAACAAAUACAUAUAUAUAUAAUAUAUAUAUAUAUAUAUAUAUAUCAUGGUGAUCUAUGUAAAGGGCAUCUAUACUGCUCUGCAUAAAAAGCUCCCAUUUAAGGACCAUGUGAGAAGUUCUCGAUACAGUCUCUAAAGUGGUUGGCGUUAAGAAGAGUGUCCAGCUGUAGAAAGCAAUCGAAAUCAGGCAGGAACUGGGUGCAGCACCCCUGUUUGCCAGCACAGGUCAAACCAACCAACCCAGCGAAGCAUGGUAAAUGGACAUUAAAUGUAAAAAGCUGUGCCAAAACUGACCUUGCUUGUGAUCUUUCCACUUAAAAUGUACUCAAUACACUCUGUAGUAUGGUUGGUGUUAGGAAGAGCAUCCAGCUGUAAAAGCUGAGCCAAAACAGACACACAAGUCUGGGGCAGUCUUCUGACUGACCACCUCCUACCAAACCAUCCAACAGAUACUGGUAUUGAAGGCAGACAUUAAAUGAAGGGGAUCAGGAAACGAGAAUCCUGGCAGUUUGCUGUGUUUGAAAAGACACAUCAAGCUAAGUAAAAGCAUGGUUGCCCUUGCAUACAAGCUUGUCCCUUCCGACCCCCUCCAGCUGAGCAUCCCUAAUCCUGCAGGCUCAUGGGUGCUGAUACCACGUAAAAGCACCCAGUGGUACUGCGUAAUAUCACCCAGUACAUUCUGUAAAGGGUUUGUUUUAGAAAGGGCAUCCAGCAAUAGAAACUAUUUUAAGAUAGAGAUGGGGCCUGAUGAGCCCUUCAGCUGGUUAGCUCCUUUCAAACCAUUCAACCCAUGCCAGUGUGUAAAAUGGAAUUUAAAUGAUGAUGAAGUAAUAAUUUAAAAUUUAUAUAUACACCUUAUAGUAUACCAUUGUCUUUCUGAGCGAACGAUUUGCCACAGAUAUCACAGUGAUAUGGCUUCUCUCCUGUAUGGACGCGUCUGUGCCUAAUCAAGCCUUGAUUUCAAGAGAAUGAUCUACCACAGGUAUCACAAUGAUAUGGCUUCUCUCCUGUAUGAAUACGUCGGUGAGUGAGUAAGUUAGUUUUCCGAGAGAAUAAUUUACCACAGGUAUCACAAUCAUAUGAUGUUUUGCCCUCUUCAUUCUUUACAUCAUCAGAUAAAUCAAUUAUUUUAGAUAGCCUUCUCACUGUAUUUGGCUAUCUGAUGUCAUCUACAGUAUGGAUAUAAAUGACACUGGAUUUAUUUGAGGAAUUCCUUCAUGUCAAUAGAGUUUAAAAAAUGAGAGAAAGAGAAAGAAAAUAGAAUUUCCAAGACUAGUAUUCACUAUGAUUGUUUCAACCCAUCGUGUAUCUGUGCCUCGCAGGUGAGAUUCUGUACGAACAGUUGUGGGGCAUCCUUUGAUGCAGACAUGUCCCAUCAGGUGACUUAUCAAAUGGUUCUUCGUAUUUAAAUUUCUGUUUUGCUUAUUUCGAUUAGAAUUCAUUUUGGUAUUUGUUACAUGUCAAGCUUCUUUCAGUUUCCAUCAAACAUGUCUUUGAUUGGCCACUCUGGGACUGAACCCAGGACCAUGUGGUUGGGAAGUCAACUUCUUACCACACAACCAUCCCUGCACUUCUAUGGCCAUGUCUAUAUAAAAAUGUAGUAAAACUUUCACUGCUUUAAUCUCUCUAAUUCCUAAUUAUCUUGUAUGUUUUACACUGUUGUUUCUCUUUCGUUUCAGAUUAUCAGAUGACAUCUGCUUCACAGGAUUUUGACAUAAGCAACGUCAUUAGAAUGGAAAGUCUUUUGAAGACUGAGCAAAGAUGUUAUACAAAACACGUAUAACCCUGUUUCUAUAAUAUUUACUGAAUUACUGCAAAAUAUAUCUUCUGAACUCUGACAUAUAUGUAGCAAAAUUUCUCUUCUUUAUUGUCUGGAAUACACAGAAAAUUAUAUUUGCAUAUUAAUUAAUCAUUUAGCAUUUAAACUAGCACAAAUAUUCUGACCUCUCACACUCACCCUGCAGUGUCAGUUUAAACAUAAACAAUCAAAUCACUGAAGUCUCAAAGCUAUGAGAUA
This 2582-nucleotide long non-coding RNA is filed under the name Octopus vulgaris (common octopus). Lineage: Eukaryota; Metazoa; Mollusca; Cephalopoda; Octopoda; Octopodidae. The record is from RNAcentral.